This is a long non-coding RNA of Herpailurus yagouaroundi (jaguarundi), 815 nucleotides long. RefSeq lists it as uncharacterized. The record is from RefSeq and is a predicted model, not a curated record. The transcript is spliced from 3 exons. NCBI's taxonomy places the organism in Eukaryota, Metazoa, Chordata, Mammalia, Carnivora, Felidae.
UGUUCAGCAAACCCCUCCACCUGCUUGCCCCGGGCCCUCGUCCAGCCCCCUGGCCGGGCCUCACCGGCGGGCCCCACCAGGCACGUACCACUGCAGAUCACCUGGCACAUCUUGGCUUCAUUGGUCCUUGGGUGAACAAAGUCACAGGGAGACAGGCAGCAAGAAAGAGACCAGAAGAAGGCAACAGGCGGGCAAAGAAAGGCAGGAAACCAAGGGAUGCUGGGAGCAGAGAAGAGGCGUUGUUGGGGGAAAGGGAACAGCACAGAACUCAUCAGCAAGUCCCAUCAGUCAGAACCUCAUUCAUCUCUCCCGUCUGCGCACCCCUCACCAGCCUGGCCCCAGCCUGAGCCACCAAUGCCUCUCACGUACACACCUCUCAUCCCUUCUCCACCCACACAACAGCUAGAAUGUUCUUCCUGGAACCUGCGUGUCACAAGGCAACCCUACAGCUUUCCGGGGCUCUCAAGUAAGGUCCAGACUCUACCACACCCACCAGGCCCUGCCAGCCUCUCCAACCCCACUUUCCACCAUCUGCCCUCACCCUAACGACAGCCACAGUGACCUCUCAGUCCUUCAGAGAAGCCGAGCCUUUCCCUGCCUCAGGGCCUUUGCACAUGACGUUCUCCGUGCAGAACGCCCUCCCGCAUCUGGUUCUUCACCAUCGUCUCGUCCUUUCGGGUCACAACUGAAAUGUCGCUACCCCAGUGAGGGCCCUCACAGAGGUGAGGUCCCCUCCCUCCUGAUCUCAAACAGCCACCAGGCUGUUCUCGUCACACCACAUGUCAUCUCAUAUGAUGAUGGCCGAUUUUCUUGUU